Molecule: small nucleolar RNA, 107 nt
Filed under: Theobroma cacao (cacao)
Lineage: Eukaryota; Viridiplantae; Streptophyta; Magnoliopsida; Malvales; Malvaceae
Description: Plant small nucleolar RNA R71
Rfam family: Plant small nucleolar RNA R71
About the family: R71 is a member of the C/D box family of snoRNAs containing the C (UGAUGA) and D (CUGA) box motifs. Multiple nearly identical copies of this snoRNA have been identified in Arabidopsis, and it is thought to function as a 2'-O-ribose methylation guide for 18S ribosomal RNA.
Source: Rfam by way of RNAcentral
AGACCAUGAUGAAGGCAAUGCCUAAGCAAAUCCUUGUAUCUCUCUCAAGCUUCAUACAACAAUUUCGCAUCUAGCUGCAUCAAUGAUGUGAUAUCAUUCCUAAUCUU